Long non-coding RNA from Synchiropus splendidus (mandarinfish), 4754 nucleotides. RefSeq lists it as uncharacterized. The record is from RefSeq and is a predicted model, not a curated record. NCBI's taxonomy places the organism in Eukaryota, Metazoa, Chordata, Actinopteri, Syngnathiformes, Callionymidae. The transcript has 4 exons.
GAAAAAGCUCUUGAGCUUCAGGGUCAGAGAAGAAUGGUGACAGCUGGUGACAGAUGGAAGCCCGUUCUUCUCACCUGAAGAUGAAGAGCCUCAUCAGAACCAGGGACGCCAUCUUGGAUUUUGAACUCUGGGUGGCGAGAAUUCUCCCACCAUUCGACUGGGAAAUGUCGGAUAGGUCAUCGCAGGGCCAGAGCUGGGAAUUUCCCAGUUCCGAGAACGUGUGGAAUGCAACAUGUGACACACGGAUUCACCAUCCUUGCUUCCACUGCGACUUUCUCCAGUGUAGGAGACUACUUUCACCAUGGCAGACUGCUGCAGGAGAUGGAGAGCAAACCUGCUAAUGAGGAGCGCAGAGGCGGAGGUCUGCUGGAUGCUGGGGGCCACAGAAGGAUUUGUAUGUGAGGAGGAGGAUUUUGUAAGAGACGCGGGAGUUGACGGCGAGCCAGCGGAGACGGAUGAAGGUGGGGGUGAUGGGCUGCCAGGGUUGGGCGCGGGUGAGAGGCCUGGCAGCUGAGCUCGGCACACACUGGAGCCUUUCCAGGGCUUUUCUCCGCACCCCAGACACCGGCGAGCGCUGUAAUGAAGACGGAGGCCACGGGGGCGGGGGCUUAUGUCGGAGGCUCCGAGUGGCGGCUGGAUUCUGGAGGUGUUUUACAGCUGGUUAUAAGCGGAUUUGCUGAUUGAUUAGAUAAGUCCAAAAUGACAGCCGCUGGGAUUCAAGAGCGAGUGGCUAAUUCACUCGCUUCAGCAGAAAACAAAAGCAUAUUUGUUGAUUGGUCGCAGAGCUAAACGCACACACACGCCAAAGCGCUGAUGUGGACCAGGCUGGAGUUAAGAAUGAGUCAUGGUCCUCGGGAACGCAACAUAAAAAUGCAAGGUCAGACUGUUUCUCAUUCCGCCAUGAAGCUGUUCGGCAGCUAAGCCCACAGACUUGGAGCAACAAGAGUCAAGAUUUAGACUUAAUCUGGCCGGGUCAGAAUGUUUCAUCCAAAUGAGCUUUGUUCUGCUGCUCCUGCGGGUGCUGGGUGGUCAGAGGAGUUUAGCUCCCGGACUGGCUUUGUGAAGUGGAGACGAUCAAGUCGGGUAAAAGUUCACCAUCGACGACCAGUCUCUGUCAGCAGCCUCCAGUCCGCUCUGACGCGCCGUCAGGGUCACACUUCCUGGUGGCCCACCAGAGUCCGUCCUCGGCUCCCGGGGUUCUGUUUGUCAACUCUUUCAUUGAUUGUAGUGGCCAAAAUGCGGUGAAACUUGUCAUAAUAUAAAGUUCUGGAGCAACAUGACGGGAAAUAAGGACCUUUGAAAAUGAGUUUAUAUAUAGCUGAUGUUCCGUAAGUCGUUUCCGGGCUGUUUUGUUCCAGAGCUCCUCACAAGGGCGGAGCCUGACGGAGGUUUGGAUGGGGGCGGAGUCUGAGAGGUAAAGGUGUGUGUGAGCGGCUCAUUCAAACAGCAGCUGCUGACGUGGUCCACAGGGUCGGGAUUUAGAGGGUGAGAAAAAUCACGGAGAGAGAUGGAUCUGGAGGUCGGCCAUGUUUGUUUACGGCCACCUGAACUAGUCAGUUCCACUGUUUACAUCUGUCUAUUCUACAUUUCCAUCAUGGGAAUUUGGACGGAUUCAGGAUUCUUCACAUCCACGUCGUGACCCUUGGCGGCAAGAUUUGAGGGCAAACGUGAGCAUUCGUCACAUGACUUCAUCUCAAAAAGGAGGGAGGGAAUAUGAUGCUGCACAUGUUACGUACAUGUUACCUAAAGUGGCUCCGUUUCAGGAUGACGGACACAUUAAAACCCUUGAAAUUACCCCUGUAUGUGCACAUCAACCCUCAAAAGAUCAUGAAGACGCAGCAGUCAGGCGCCGCUGCGCUCUCUUUCCUGCUGCUGCUGCAUUCCAGGCCGGUCCCCCGCUGACCGCCACUCUAUAUUCGGAGGUGUUGUCACGUUGUUUGGGAUCAACUGUGACAAUCCAAAUGACCUCAUGAAACAGCGUCCAUCGAUAAACUGGCAGACGUGUCCGGUUGUUGAUCAGUAACACUGGUGAUUCAUUUCAAUUCGGAGUUGAAGAAUCCAUCCACGCGCCCAUGCAGCGCUCGGAGUGGUUCCAUUUGAACAAGACAUCGCUCUUUUGGGCUGGUGUGGACAGCAGGCGCUGAGUAAUGACUUCCCUUUUAAUGAGAGUAAGAGUUCAGAACAGCAUCAACGGAUGAAGUAUGAAAAGCUGCUCACCUAAUUGGAAACACGUUUGUGCGAAUAAAUCGACCAUUUCAUGAAUUUUAUCAGGAUAUAGAAAUGAACCACUAAUUCUUUGGUUAAAAUUCCAAAUGCUGGCUAGCGUCAGCUAGCAAUAAGUGCUAGUGGCGGGUUUCCUCUUUCUGUACUAGCUAGCAAUGCUAGCGAUUACAAAGCAGGUUUCCCCUAAAAUACAUAUUUGGAUAUUUGAUAUAAAAUUUUGAAUUUUGAACCGCUACCGUGUUCUGCCCGGGGCUAGCAAUGCUAACAAGUACAAAGAUUCUGAAAAAUAUGUAGACAAUGAAAUGUUUAAAACAAAACAGGGGACUCGUAAAAUAACAUUAACUAAAAAGACCUUAACUUUAACUGAAAAACUGUGUUAGAUGUAAUAUUCUCAUAUUGACUUGUUGCUAUAGCUUUCUGGUGUGGCUAGCAAUGCUAAUGAUUACAACGCAGGUUUCCUCUUUGAAUUAAAGUGUGAAAUGAAUCCUCAAAUUUCAUGCUUAGAUUGCUGUAGCGUUCUCCUGUAGCUAGCAUGUUAACAAAACAAAGUGGAUAUUGUAUAUUGUUUGGAGGCAUUUGCCUCAUAGAUACUUGACAGCCUUAGCAUGUCUGUGUGCGUGAAGCUAAUUUGAAGUUUAGCGAUAACAUCUCUUGUUUUCAACGUAUCAAGAUGUGUGCAUACAUGCGUCUAAAGGGCGCCGCAAACAUAACGCUAAUCGGGCUGUUUUUGUCCAGAUUUUGUAAUCGCCCAUUUAUCGUACCGCUUCAACGAUUAUCGUAGAAGAAAAUCUGGGGUGAGCUACGAGGGAAUUCAUCCUGAUAAUCCGCUCCGAAAACUGUCAAGGUCGACAGUCAUGAAUGUAAAAUGUUUCAUAUUUGUGACUGACAAUCUUCACGUGUGUGGUGAGAGCUGAUCGUUCCCGACUUUAACUGUAAUGUGGAACGGAACGGAACCAGUCAAGAAGCGACAGAAAAAUACAAAGAAGCAAAGGAGGGUGUUUUGACGUGUAUUGAACUGACCCUAGUUUUUAAUCAUUUGAAGUAAAUCUCUUCACUCUGCAGCCGCUAGUUAUGAUGUUUCCUUCAGGACUAUUGGGUUAAAAAUCAUCCGUUGCACUUCCAUGUCGUACAGGCAGGAUGUUGAAAAACACCCCCCACGCCUUCUCAUUUUUAAUGCAAAUAUCUUGAGGCUAUUUCGAUACAAAUAGGUGCAAUAAGUAGCCAUCUGGGUCCUGACUGAAGAAGCCUGAAACAACCAGAGUUUAUCGUUGGCUGCCACCCGAGGUCAUUCAGAGCCAGUUGACGAAGUUUGUUGUUGAAAAUAAAAUCGUGGAACUGUUUCAGGCUUGUUCACUGACGCUGCUCUGCUAACAUCAGCCCCUUACGCCAGGUUUUUAUUCCGCUAUUCGCUGAGAAGCAGCUCCAAGCUUUGAGGACUUCACUUCGUAGUUCCGCCCCUCGAAACUCAGAAGCGCGUCGGAGGGAAAUCUCUGGCAUGUGACCGGACUGAGAUUCCUGCUGUGGCAUUAUGUGGUGACGCACUGGAAAACUGCGCUGGUUUGAUUCUGUUUUCAUAAAUAUUUCAAACCUGAUAGUUGCUGUACUUGAGAUGCAAGGUCAAGUCUUCAAUCUUUCAUCUCGCCUUCUCCUCCAUGCUUGAGUGCAUUUGCAACAAGUCCUUUCAAUGCAAGCAUGUUCCCAGAGCCCUGAACAUCCCGUGGGUACAAACUCCUUCACCUUAUUGCUGUCGCCAGCAUCUAACAACUGCACUGCUACACAACUCUGCCCUCACCUGCCACACCACACGCUACCUUCGGAUCCCUGACUCCUCCUCCUCUGAAGCCCUCACAACCUGGUCGAACCUUUGACCAUCAUUGCGCUCCUUGGCCCGCCCCUUCCUCCCCUCCUCUGCCCUCCAUCACUGUCCUCAGCCCACACUUCCUCUCACUGCCCUAAACAGCAAGUCUUUCCUUCCCAUCCCCAAACAGCCUUUCCGUACCAGUGUGAGGUGAGAGGUGAGGACACACCCUGGACAGGUGGUUGGUCCAUCAAGUCAGACACACCUGUGGAGUCACGCAGCCCAGCUUGUUCCCGGCGCUCCGGCGUUACACAUAUAGCCAGCAGUUUAGGGGGGCACUUUGUCACCGCCUCACAGUAAGUCAUCGUGACCUCGGCUAUUUUCAGUCGUAAAAAUUCCAACUCUCUGGAACGCAUCACCGUCAGCUCACCCGAGAGAGAAAGUAACGCAGCCAAGGCAAACCGGAGCUAAAAGAAAAAGCAUAUUCCUUGAUUUUUUUUUUUUAGUUUCAACAGCUCACGUAAGUCGUGUGAGUACAGACCUGGGCAAAGAGCGGCCCUGUGCUCAUAUACAACCUGAUGCCUGUAUUUUGGUGGCCAGUUUGACAUCAGACUAAAACUAUAACUGAUAAGUCCUAAAGUUUCUGCCUUUUUUUGUUUUUUCUCUUAUAGUCCCCACCACCACUUCAGCAGUAAAUAUAGCAUGUUCUUGUGUUAAGACUAAAAUGUUCUUC